UUUACUUUCUCUCUCCAUAAAUUGCUCUCUCUAAAUUCAUUUCUUUCUAAAAAAAAACAGAAAUUCUUCCUCUCCAAAGUUCGAUCAAACUUCUAACAAACUUUAUGUUCAUCCAUUUCAUUGCCAUAACCACUCACAAAACACUAACAUUCGUCGACAUAUGCAUUAAAAUUGAAAAAAGGAUAGCAUGUCACCAAUGUUUUUGAGAUUUCAAGUAAAAUUAAGGAACAAAUAAUUGAUGUUUGAGAGAAAAUCAACUUGAGCAAGAUUUUGGAUGAAAAAAAACGUAAAAAUAAAAGGUUCACUCAAGUAGAACCGCCUGAAGCGUUCAUAGCCAUCAUGGAGUAAAUUGAGUAAGGUGUAGACAUAUUCCUUCACUCAUUGGAGAACCCACCAGACUCGAGCGAUCAAACAACGAUAACAUGUACUUCACAUGAGCUCUAAGUGUCUUUCUAACUCUAGGCUUAUAGCAAAGGAUCCGAGCAUUUGUUUCAUGGACUUCCAUCCUGAAAAUCUGUUUUGAGGAUCAACCUUCAUGCCUUUCAUUGAUUCAAUCAAUUCAUAAACAUUAUGGUUUCUUUCUUCGGUAUUUCCACGAGAGAUAUGCCUCAAAUGCUUGAUUAGCAUAAAUCGCCAUGUGCUUCCCUUCAAGUGCGGCUCAUUUAGUAAAUUGGCAGCACUUGAGAACAUUUUUAAAAAAAAAAAAACCAUUUUCACAAAUACAGUUCAUUUGAGAAAUUUGGCAGCACUUGAGUUCAAGUGCGGGCUUUAAACUCAAGUGCGGGCUUUAAACUCAAGUGCGGGCUCAUUUCACAAACGAGUCGCCCAAAAAAUUUCACAAAAAAAGUUUCAUUUCCCACUUCUCCUCCUUCCCUUAUGUGGAUUUCUUUUCCCUAAAAAUGAACGCUUUUUUCCCUCUGGUUUCGAACAAGGCCACAAAACUCAAAAUUCACAGCACUCACCGAGACUAGCCCCGGUGCCGCUGCUCUUAGGAUUUCUGAGUUAUCUGAAUGUGCGUUUUCGACGUCGAAUUAUUCGUAUUGUUAAGAGUGAGGGUUCUUCCGAUUUCAAAAUUAUUGGAGAAGCUGUGUUUCUCAUUAACAAAGUUGUUGUAAUCUCUCUUUCUCUCAAUCUCCAUUGUUUUAUUGGUUAAAAUUGCUGGAAUUUGAAAUCGGUUUGCUCUAUUCUUUUGAUUUUGCUGGGUUUGUAUUUUGAAUUUAGUCUGAAUUUUAUGCUCGUAUUAUUGUUGAACUAUCAAUUCGCCUGCUUGCAGGUUGCAACUGCCUGCAAUUUGUUUCCUCUGUUGUCCGUGUUAGGGUUUAAUCUGUUGAGAAACAAUUUGUACAAAUUGUUGAAUGAAUAGUUAAAUUGUUGGUUAGAAUUGUAGAAAUUUGAACUGGGUUUACUGUAUUUUUUUUAUAAGAAAUUAUGUGCGUGUAGUUCAAUUGAAUCGGAACUUAAUGCAUGCAUGCUUGCAACGGCUGCAAUAUGUUCAUUGAAUACUGAGUGAUUGAAAACAAUUUGUAAGAUACUACUGAUUUUCUAGUGAAAUUGCUUCUCCACUACCUGUCGCGUCGCCGUUGCUGUUCCCCCACCACCGAACUCUUCCUCUUCCUCUUCCUGCCAAUUGGUAAUUCCUUGAACUUAUCCCCUAAAUUAGUUGAAUAGAAAACCCCAAAUCACCUAAACCCUAACUUCUCCUUGAUUCUAUCACUUCUCUGGUUGUUGUUGCUACUUUGUUGUUGUUUCAGGUUCGAUGGUGCGCCGCCACUACCACCAUCCCUUAUGACUGCCCGCGUGCGCAUUUUAUUGUUUUCAAUUGGUUGUAGAUGCAGUUUGUGGGCUAAGUAGGUGGGGGGAGGGGGUAGGAGUAGGGGUUGCCUCUGCCCCAUGGUUUAUGACAAUCCUAUAUGGUGUGUGGUUAGAACAUAAUUUACACUUCAUUUUAUGAACCACAUUAUUAUGCAAUUUGCUUUCA
This is a long non-coding RNA of Spinacia oleracea (spinach), 1978 nucleotides long. RefSeq lists it as uncharacterized. The transcript is spliced from 2 exons. The record is from RefSeq and is a predicted model, not a curated record. NCBI's taxonomy places the organism in Eukaryota, Viridiplantae, Streptophyta, Magnoliopsida, Caryophyllales, Amaranthaceae.